GCCCUGGUAACUCAAUGGUUAAGCAUUCAGCUGCUAACUGAAAGGUCAGUGGUUCAAAUCCACCAAAUGGCU
This 72-nucleotide transfer RNA is filed under the name Loxodonta africana (African savanna elephant). It matches the Rfam family "tRNA". From Rfam's summary of the family: Transfer RNA (tRNA) molecules are approximately 80 nucleotides in length. Their secondary structure includes four short double-helical elements and three loops (D, anti-codon, and T loops). The record is from Rfam by way of RNAcentral. Lineage: Eukaryota; Metazoa; Chordata; Mammalia; Proboscidea; Elephantidae.